RNAcentral lists this ribosomal RNA (667 nucleotides) under uncultured bacterium. RNAcentral describes it as "bacterial SSU rRNA". It matches the Rfam family "Bacterial small subunit ribosomal RNA", at positions 56 to 720 of the family's 1533-position model. The record is from RNAcentral.
UGCAAGUCGAGCGGCAGCGCGGGGCAACCUGGCGGCGAGCGGCGAACGGGUGAGUAAUGCAUCGGAACAUGUCCAUUCGUGGGGGAUAGCCCGGCGAAAGCCGGAUUAAUACCGCAUACGCCCUGAGGGGGAAAGUGGGGGACCGCAAGGCCUCACGCGAAUGGGUUGGCCGAUGUCCGAUUAGCUAGUUGGUGGGGUAAAGGCUUACCAAGGCGAUGAUCGGUAGCUGGUCUGAGAGGAUGAUCAGCCACACUGGGACUGAGACACGGCCCAGACUCCUACGGGAGGCAGCAGUGGGGAAUUUUGGACAAUGGGGGCAACCCUGAUCCAGCCAUUCCGCGUGAGUGAAGAAGGCCUUCGGGUUGUAAAGCUCUUUUGUCCGGAACGAAACGGUUAGCGUGAAUAUCGCUGACUACUGACGGUACCGGAAGAAUAAGCACCGGCUAACUACGUGCCAGCAGCCGCGGUAAUACGUAGGGUGCGAGCGUUAAUCGGAAUUACUGGGCGUAAAGCGUGCGCAGGCGGUUUUGUAAGCCAGAUGUGAAAGCCCCGGGCUUAACCUGGGAAUGGCAUUUGGGACUGCAAGGCUUGAGUGCGGCAGAGGAGACUGGAAUUCCUGGUGUAGCAGUGAAAUGCGUAGAUAUCAGGAGGAAUACCGAUGGCGAAG